RNAcentral lists this unclassified non-coding RNA (4093 nucleotides) under Hevea brasiliensis (rubber tree). Lineage: Eukaryota; Viridiplantae; Streptophyta; Magnoliopsida; Malpighiales; Euphorbiaceae. The record is from RNAcentral.
UUAUUAUUAUUAUUAUUAUUUAAAACAAUUUAAAUAUAUAUAUAAAUUAAAACAAAAAAUGUACGUGUACGUGGUGUUUCCAGGAUUAGAUGACAAUGAAAAAAGCCACUAAUCAGGAUAAGCCACAGAGUCAGAUAUAGCACCCAAGCCAUUAUACCAAGAGGAACUAAUAAUCCCCCAGAAUUGGUAAUGGGCGCAAUUAAUCCAAUAAUACUUGAAAAAUUAAAAUCAAAACUAAUUAUUUGGGAUUAGGGCUCAGUGGAAGGAGAAGUCGUUAACGAAGAUAGGCUCACGGCGAGGCCGAAAACGGCACACGUCCACUGCCCUUCACAACACAUUAGUGUUUAACCUCAUCACAGCAUCCAAAUCCCUAAUUGUUUCAAAACCUUAAUUUCAGAUCUAAGAAAUUCUCAAUUAAUCGGAAGGCCUCAGUGUGUGUAACAAUCAGAUCAUUGAUAAAUAAAUUUAUCUCACUGAAAUCCGCUAAGAUAAUUAUGUUAUCAUCAUAAGCCCAUUCCAAUUACAUAUAAAAUUCAGUGAAAACAGAGAAAAAAAAAAGAGAGAGAGAGAGAAAGAGAGAGUCCUUACAAUAAUGAUACACUAUUACCGCUAAGAAAUAUCUAGAACAAAAACACUAUUACUCCUAAGAAAUAUCUAGAACAAAAAAAGAAAAACCCAAGUAUAUUUCCAACCAUAAUGGCUCUUCCUGUGCUGAGAAGCUUUUGAUUUUGACUGUCAUUCAUUACCCAACAAAAUAUGGUUACAAUGAAUCUUAAGAAUUAUCAUUCUCAGAACUCAGAAUAAAAGCCUGAAACAAAAAUAUAAGUUAAGAAGAGGGAAUUGAGAAUACAUAUAGUACACUAUUUUUUUUCCUUUUUUUUUUGGAAAAGAAAUUAUCAGUUAUCACCUAAUAUCAUAUACAAGGAGAUCAUGCAAAUCGACUGCCAUCAGAUCACAGCUGUCAGCCAUUUGCAAAUCUAUCAUUUCAUCAGAUUCAAGUGCAUUUUAGUUGGCCAUUACAUGAGAUUUGUUUAAUCAGCAGGAGUGCUGGACUUUAUAACCAAACAAGAAGCAUAAAAAAACAAUCGAAGGAUGGUAAGGCAUAGACACCUACCUGACCUAGUGCACCAUUAUCAUUUGUUCAUUUAUAGCCGUAGUAGAUGCACAUUUGCAAAACAAGAAGCUAUGAAAUGCAGAAUGUAUUUUAGGAGAUAUAUCAAGCAAAUGGGAACAAUAAGUUUCAGAUUUUAUUUGAAGAUGAUUUUUUUAUCUAAGUUUCAGAUUUUAUUUGCAGAUGAAUUUUAUCAACUUCCCACAAAAAGGUGGGAGAGGGAGGGCAAAGGGUAAAAUCCCCAGAUUUGAUCCGCCCUAGAAAAUUUAAUAUUGGAGAUCUGCACUCAAAAAAUUGAAUCAAGAAAAGAUUAUCAAAGGUACCAAGUAGAUAACUUACUUUCACAUGUUAUUAUGGAAUGACUAAGGCAUCUCAACCUGUUUGACAUUGCAAAGAGUUCUUAAAGAAAACCAAAGAAUCUGCAAAUCAUAUAUGAAAUCUAACAAAGUAGAUCAACUUUUGAUCUCAGUUUCCCACAGAAUCUGAAAUAACAGUCUCACAAUUAACUGCUACAUAGCAGCCUUAAAGCUUGAUCGCAUCAAUUUAUCCCUGAUACAAUAACAAUUUCACACUCAAACUGGUCAUCACUGCUAGUCCUACUGAAUAUGACUAUUUUGCCACUUAGGUUAUCAAAUAUCACACAACCUACCGCAAAGGAUAUUUUAAAUAUCGGAUCACUACACCUGGCAGCCACAAAAUUAAACCAUCCACAAUCCAAACAUAUCAACAUUGUCAAUCCUUUGGUAGCGCAGAAGAAAUACCAUAACCAGGCAUAUGCUUCCUUCACCGUGGAGAUAACAAAGAAAAUAAUGAAUUCUCUGGUUCCUUCACUUUAGAGAAAACAAUCUAUAUUUCCAUCUUUCUGCUUCCUUCUUCAGCAGCCCAUCAUUCAAUUGGCAGGCAGCAAAAAGGUUCAGUCAGACAAGCAGUUGAAAAAGAAAACUCCUCUGUGCAUCCUCCCACAGAUCCAGAACAAACAAGAAGCAGAGAACCUCUUCCAACCAACAAACUUGACACAGACACAGACAGUCAUGAAUGCUCAAAUGAACUCAGUUCACGUCUUUUUAUCCUCAAAACUAUGUUAUUAUCAUAAGCAUAAAGUUCCCAAUAAUGUUGAAAACUUCCAAUCGCCACAUUACCAGGUAUGUAAUAGUUUCCUUUCAUUGGAAAGUUACAAGCGGAAGAAGGAUUUACAACAUGAAGAGAGAAGAAAGUGUUACCAGCUAACAACUACAAAAAUCCAGACUGCAGGCUAAAAAAGAAUGAGCAUUUCUGGUAACCAGAAACAAUUACACUCAUUCUAAUUCUCAAUGUCAAUUUUUAACUAAUAAUAGAACCACUGAUAAGCUAUGAGCCACCCAAAUCUGUGUUGCUGAGACUGCCCUGAAUCUGUCCUCUGCCAUGCAGAAUGCAGUUCUGGAACAUCAAAGCAAUAAGGCACAGUUUAUGGCUCCUGAGGUUCCAACAGAUACGUGAAAACGAAGAAGUAAUAAAACAAAUUAAGGUCCGUCAUCUGGGUUGCCCAAAUAUGCAAAAUCAGAAAUGAGUUGAAGGAAUAAGAAAUGUGAGUGACCACAUCUGUAAUCUGAAAAGAACAGUCAAAAUUUAUCCUGACCGCUGAACUGAUAAAUCCAGCAAUGCAAUGAAUCUUGUUAUAAUAAAAUAAAAAGCAUGAAGCCCAAAGCAGUCCAAAAUUAACUAUGUACAGGAUGAAAAGUAGGAAACUUGGAUAUCAUGAGUCCACUGCAUUAGCAUGGCAUGCCGAUCAACCUCCAUGCAGAAGCAGACAACAAUGUUAUGAUUUGUAAUAUCAAGAAUGAUGAACUUUCCUCAUAGCCUUUUGACAGUAAUGAACAUAAUCUCACCCAAACUUGUAUUAAAAUCAAUGCUCGUGCAUACACUUGCAUCCUACUAAAUACGUCAAGCAUCAGGUAUGAAGAAUUUCUGACUAUCAGGGAUGUGAAAGACGAGUAAAACAACGAAACAACACAAUUUACAAAGAAAAAUCCACAUACUAUCGGAUUGAACAAUGGUUGCAGUGAUAGAAAACCAUCACAAUUCUCAGUGAAGGAAAGCAUAUCAACACAAAUCCCUAUUGACAGGCAUCCAAGGAAGAAACAAUAUCUGUCCUGAUUUUCUCACACAUCCAAGCAACACCUUCCAUUAUGUUUUUGUCCAACUAGCAAUAAAGCUGGAAAAAGCCAGUUCAAAACCAAGCAAGUGCUCUCACACAAGGACUCGAAUAAUAUUCCUCUUUAAACUGAAAUACGAGUUGCCAAAGAGCAAUAAACUCAAACUUGUCAAUACCUUAUUCUUGAAUCCAGAUAAAGACCAGCUGCGUAAACAGAUAACCUCUCAACCAAAAAAUAAUUCAAAAGUAUUGCUGCAUGGUACAUCCUAAUUCCAAACUUAUGAAAUAGAACUCUUCUGUAUCCAUCAGAAGUGAUAUUUCUCAAAUUAUAACACUCAUUUUUCCAUGGACAAAGCCAGGUACCUCUGUAAACCAUAUAUUCCAAAUAUCCAGAGAACACCAUUAUACCCAUACUUGGAAAAUUAAAAACUAUGUAUUCACUUCAAUCUAAUCAAUGAAAUGUGACUGAUCUUCAGCAGCCUGAUUCAACCACUCUGAACAAAAACAUCUCUAAACGCACAGCAUCUUUAAACGCACAGCAUCACAAAAGAUCAUACCAGCAAGCCAUAAAACAACAGAAAGAACAAGGCAAAUUAAUAAUAAUAGAAAUAUUUAAAAUUCAAAAAAAGGGGAACAGAGACCACCAAAACCCAUAUACCAAUGCAUAUUGCCAGUCCAAAUUAUCAUAUUUCGAGCAGAGAAAUAAUAGAAACAAUUAAGAAGUAACAAAUUACGUGAAUUUAUAUCUUUUUGAUUUAGCAUGAAAAAGUAGCUAAGGUUGAAAAAUAUUCAAAGGAUUUCAGAAAAGAACAAUUAAGCAAAAAAACUUAAAUUAAAAAAAAAAAAAAAAA